RNAcentral lists this long non-coding RNA (8362 nucleotides) under Ananas comosus (pineapple). RNAcentral describes it as "long non-coding RNA (ACOM_LNC020960)". Lineage: Eukaryota; Viridiplantae; Streptophyta; Magnoliopsida; Poales; Bromeliaceae. The record is from RNAcentral.
GCGUGCUUGGUCAAUCUUUAAGCCUGUAAGUUCAUCUCUUACUUGAUAAGAUGUCAUUCUGUAAGAGAUCUUUAUGAAAUAAAGAGUUUCUUGAUCUUUAUUGUUUUCUUUUUUUUGUUUCACGGCCGCUAAAGAGUGUUUGUAGUUUUUUGCUGCAAGAAUAAUAUGAUUUCAAAAAUGAUUUGUAUUUGCUUGAUUUUCUUGCUGUAAGAUUAUUUUUAUUCAGUGAAUCAAGAUGACAUUUUUUCUGUUAACAGGGAAGAUACUUUUUGAUCUUAUUUCUUAUAUAAAGAACGUAUUCCUUUUGGUCGGCAAAUAGAUGCAAUGCUUACUAUAUUCAUAGUAACUGGCUUCCUGUUUUAGAAUUGCAAAUUUCUUACUUUUUUAAGGAAGGUCCUACUUUCGUCGGUCUUUUUUCUCUAAUUUUGCUGUACAGAAUUGUUCAUUUAUUUAUACUAAGUAUGUGAUUUUGGGCUUUGGUAUUGCUUCAAUCACCUUUUGAAAUAAAUUUUAGCUAUGCUAUUUGCAUUUAAAGUUCAUCUUUUCCUAGAGCUUUUUAAUGUAGUCCGAAAUCUUAAUUCGUUAUUAUUCGGACAUGUUUAUAUUUCAGUUUGGUAUGAGUUGCUGCGAAUAGUUGGAGCUUAAGAGUAAAAAAUAGGGAUUUAAUAAAUGGUGAUUGCAACUUUUAGUCACUUUGUUGUUAGUUUCAGUUUCCUGUUAGUUGUUUGGCCGUCUUUUUCUUUAUUGAUGGAUUUAACACUUUCUUUUAAAAUUUAAAGAUUUGGUAUAACACUAUAACAGGAGAGCAUUUCGAGCAGAGCAUAAUAAGACGUGUGUGUGUGUGUGUGUGUGUGUCUCAGGCAUUGAAAUUAAUAUUGUCAUAAAUCUUUGUUAUUUCUACUAUGCUUGUGCUUUGAAGAAAUUUAUCAAUUGUAUGCAGUGUUGGUUCUUGUUGACUGGAAAUAUUUGGAGCAAUUAGUGGUGAGUUAGUGAGUACGAUUGCAUAUUGAGACCCACUAUACAAAUAAGAAGACUUUUUCCAAUUUCUUUUAUUACUUUUUUUCUAGCGAAUGAUAUUGUUCGUACUAUAAAUCCUUACCCUAUUAUGACUUUAGUUUUAUUCUAAUGUAUGCCUAUAAAAUGAUAUUUUUUAGUUAUUAAGGUAUUUAGGCUUUAUUCUUACUGCACUCAGCUAUUUUUAUGGCCAUUUGAGAGCUCAUAUAACUUCAGAAACAAUUUUCUUUUUUAACAAAAUUUAGUAAAAGAACUUAUGCGAAUGUAUCCCAAGUGCAGAGAACUCAUACCAAUAUGUACUAAAAUGAUAGUGGUGUGCCGCUAGCAUGGAGGGGCGUGUCAGCUUUCGCAUCUCUUGUGCUACUGUGUCGUGUUGUGCUGUGCUGUCAGCAUGGUAAUUCUUGUAUCACGAAGGAAAAAUAAAUUUUCCGCCCUUUUACUUUUCCUUUAAAACAAUUACAGUCCAAAAACUUUUUCUUUCCUAGAAAUACCAAACAUCUGAGACACUAAAAUUUCUAUUUCAUUAAAACAAUUUUUCGUAGUCCAUAGUUUUUUGUGGAGCCAAAUAGCCUCCAGGGUAAAAGGAUUUUUCGCUUUCUUUCUAGUUUAAUUGUCUCUUUUAAUGUUAUUGGUCUUCAAGAUGGAUUCUUGGUAGUCAAUUAUUUUAUUAUAUUUUUGAUUAAAGCAAUUUAAUAUAUUUCUAUGUUUUCGUGUUUGGUCAAAUCUUUAAGCCUGUAAGUUCAUCUCAUACUUGAUAAGAUGCCAUUCUGUAAGAGAUCUUUAUGACAUAAAAAGGUUCUUGAUCUUUAUGGUUUCUUUUCGGUUCACGGUCGCUUAUGAGUGUUUGUAGUUUACUGCUGAAAGAAUAAUAUGAUUUCAAAAAUGAUUUGUAUUUGCUUGAUUUUUUUGCUGUAAGAUUAUUUUUAUUCAAUGAAUCAAGACGACAAUAUUUCGAUUAAUAGGGAAGUUACUUUUUGAUCUUAUUUCUUAUAUAAAGAACGUAUUACUUUUUGUUGGCAAAUAGAUGCAAUGCUUACUAUAUGCAUAGUAACUGGCUUCCUGCUUUAGAAUUGCAAACUUAUUACUUUUUUAAGGAAGGUCCUCUUUUCGUCGAUCUUUUUUCUCUAGUUCAGCUGUACUGAAUCGUUCGUUUAUUUAUACUAAGUAUGUGCUUUUGGGCUUUGGUACUGCUUCAAUCACCUUUUGAAAUAAAUUUUAGCUAUGCUAUUUGCAAUAAAGUUCAUCUUUUCCUGGAGCUUUUUAAUGUAGUCUGAAAUCUUAAUUCAUUAUUAUUUGGACGUGUUUAUAUUUCGGUUUGGUAUGAGUUGUUGUGAAUAGUUGGUGCUUAAGUGUGAAAAAUGGGGAUAUAAUAAAUGGUGAUUGCAACUUUUAGUCACUUUGUUGUCAGUUUCAGUUUCCUCUUAAUUGUUUGGUCAUCUUUUUCUGUAUUGAUGGUUUUGCCACUUUCUUUUAAAUAUUUGGUAUAACAGGAAGCAGAACGUAAUGAGAUUGCUGUGUGUGUGUAAGUUUGUCUCAAGCAUUGAAAUUUAUAUCUUUAUUAUUUCUACUAUGCUUGUGCUUUGAAGAAAUUUAUCAACUGCAUGCUGUGUUUAUCCUUGUUGACUGCAAAUAGUCGGGGCAAAUAGUGAUGAAUUAGUUCGAUUGCAUAUUGAGAUCAACUAUACAAAUAAGAAGACUUUUUUCCCAUUUCUUUUAUACUUUUUGUCUAGCGAAUGAUUUUGUUCGUACUAUAAAUCUUUACCCUAUUAUCACUUUAGUUUUGUUCUAAUAUAUGUAGUUUCAUAGUAUCUAUAAAAUGAUAUUUUCAGUUAUUAAGAUAUUUACACUCUAUUCUUACUGCACUUAGCUAUUUUUAUGGCCAUUAGAGAGAUCAAAUCACUUCAGAUACUAUUUUCUUUAUUAACAAAAUUUAGUAAAAGAACUUAUGCGACUGUGUGCCAAGUGCAGAGAACUCAUACCAGUGUGUACUAAAAUGAUAGUUGUGUACCGCUAGCAUGGAGGGGCGUGUUAGUAUUCGCAUGUCUUGUGCUACUGUGUCGUGUUGUGCUGUGCCAUUAGCAUGGUAAUCCUUGUAUCAUAAAGGAAGAAUAAAUUUUUAGUCCUUUUACUUUUCCGUUAAAACAAUUACGGUCCAAAAUCUUUUUCUUUCCUACAAAUACCAAACAUCUGAGACUGAAAUUUCUAUUUCACUGAAACAGUUUUUCGUAGACCUCAGUAUUUUGUGGUGCCAAACUGCCUCAAGGGUAAAAUGGUUUUUGCUUUACUUCUAGUCUAAUUUUGUCUUUUUUCAUGUUAUUGGUCUUCGAGAUGGAUUCUUGGUACUUGGUAGUCAAAUAUUUUUUUUAUGUUUUAGAUUAGAGCAAUUUAAUAUAUUUCUAAGUUUUCAUCUCUGGUCAAUUUUCAACCUGUAAGUUCAUCUCUUACUUGAUAAGAUGCCAUUCUGUAAGAGAUCUUUAUGAAAUAAAGAGGUUCUUGAUCUUUAUGUUUUUUUCUUUGGUUCAUGUUUGCUUACGUGUUUGUAGUUUACUGCUGCAAGAAUAAAAUGAUUUCAGAAAUGAUUUGUAUUUGCUUGAUUUUCUAGCUGUAAGAUUAUUUUCAUUCUUUUAAUCAAGAUGACAAUUUUUCUAUUAACAGGGAAGUUACUUUUUGAUUUUAUUUCGUAUAUGAAGAACAAAUUACUUUUGGUCAGUAAAUAGAUUUAAAAAGUACGAGAUGAGUUUUGGUUUCCUUCCCUCUAAAAAACAAAGAGAUUACAUUUGGAAGAUUUUGUUUCUAAACAGAAGAAAUUUCACCCUUUUAGAUACUUUUUCAGACCCAUUGCCGAUACUAAGUUGCAGUCAAAAACAGUUAUACCUCGUGAAAAAAGAUUUUUCCAGAGAUGGCUUACAACCAAUAGUUCAUUAUCUAAUGGAUCUUUCCGUUCUAAUACUCUAUCCGAGAGUUAUUAGUUGCUACGGUAAUACCGUUUAGUUGACCUAUGCUUGUUUGAACAGCUUCAGUUAAACUUGUCUUUCUUUGAUAAGAAUCGAUACGAUCUUUAUUAUUUCUGCUAUGCUUGUGCUUUAAACAAAUUUAUCAACUGUAUGCUGUGUUUAUCCUUCUUGACUGCAAAUAGUCGGAGCAAAUAGUGAUGAGUUAGUGAGUUUGAUUGUAUAUCGAGACCAACUAUACAAAUAAGAAGACUUUUUACCUUUUUUUUUUUUUACUCUUUGUGUAGCGAAUGAUAUUGUUCAUACUAUAAAUCCAUACCCUAUUAUGACUUUAGUUUUGUUCUAAUAUAUGUGGUUUCAUAAUAUCUAUAAAUUGAUCUUUUUUAGUUAUUAAGAAAUUUAGAUUCUAUUCUUACUGCACUCAGCUAUUUUUAUGGCCAUUAGAGAUCAAAUCUCUUUAGAAACUAUUUUCUUUUUUAAUGAAAUUUAGUAAGAGAGCUUGUGCGAAUGUGUGCCAAGUGCAGAGAACUCAUACCAAUGUGUACUAAAAUGAUAGUGGUGUGUCGCUAGCGUGGAGGGGCGUGUCACCAUUCGCAUGUCUUGUGCUGCUGUGUCGUGUUGUGCUGUGCCAUUAGCAUGGUAAUCCUUGUAUCACAAAGGAAAAAUAAAUUUUUUGUUCUUUUACUUUUCCUUUAAAACAAUUACGGUCCAAAACUUUUUCUUUCCUACAAAUACCAAAUAUCUGAGACUUUGAAAUUUCUAUUUCACUGAAACAAUUUUUCGCAGACCACAGUUUUUUGUGGAACCAAACGGCCUCCAGGGUAAAAGGAUAUUUUGCUUUCUUUCUAGUUUAAUUUUGUCUCUUUUCAUGUUAUUGGUCUUCGAGAUGGAUUCUUGGUAGUCAAUUAUUUUAUUAUGUUUUUGAUUAAAGCAAUUUAAUAUAUUUCUAAGUUUUUGUGUUUGGUCAAUCUUUAAGCCUGUAAGUUCAUCUCUUACUUGAUAAGAUGCCAUUCUGUGAGAGAUCUUUAUGACAUAAAGAGGUUCUUGAUCUUUAUGAUUUUUUUUUGUCUUCACGGUUGCUUACAAGUGUUUGUAGUUUUCUGCUGCAAGGAUAAUAUGAUUUCAUAAUGAUUUGUAUUUGCUUGAUUUUCUUGCUAUAAGAUUAUUUUUUAUUCUAUGAAUCAAGACGACAAUUUUUCUGUUAACAGGGAAGUUACUUUUUGAUCUUAUUUCUUAUAUGAAGAACGUAUUACUUUUGGUCGGUAAAUAGAUGCAAUGCUUACAUAAUGCGUAGUAACUGGCUUCCGGCUUUAGAAUUACAAACUUCUUACUUUCUUACGGAAGGUCCUCUUUUCGUCGACCUUUUUUCUCUAGUUCAGCUGUACAUAAUCGUUCGUUUAUUUAUACUAAGUUUGAGCUUUUGGGCUUUGGUAUUGCUUCAAUCACCUUUUGAAAUAAAUUUUAGCUAUGCUAUUUGCAGUUAAAGUUCAUCAUUAUCCGGAGCUUUUUAAUGUAGGCUGAAAUUUUAAUUCAUUAUUAUUUGGACGUGUUUAUAUUUCGGUUUGGUAUGAGUUGCUAUGAAUAGUUGGAGCUUAAGAGUAAAAAAUGGGGAUUUAAUAAAUGGUGAUUGCAACUUUUAGUCACUUUGUUGUCAGUUUCAGUUUCUUGUUAGUUGUUUGGUCACCUUUUUCUUUAUUGAUGGUUUUACCAAUUUAUUUGUAUGAAAGAUUUGGUAUAACUGGAAAGCAUUUCGAGCGGAGUGUAAUGAGAUUUGUGUGUGUGUGUGUGUGUGUGUGCGCGUGUGUCUCAAGCAUUGAAAUUAAUAUUGUUAUAUAUCUUUAUUAUUUCUGCUAUACUUGUGCUUUGAAGAAAUUUAUCAACUGUAUGCUGUGUUUAUCCUUAUUGGCUGCAAAUAGUCGGAGCAAAUAGUGAUGAGUUAGUGAGUUCGAUUGUAUAUUGUUCCCAUUUAUUUUAUUACAUUUUGUGUAGCGAAUGAUAUUGUUCGCACUAUAAAUCCUUACUCUAUUAUGACUUUAGUUUUGUUCUAAUAUAUGUAGUUUCAUAAUAUCUAUAAAUUGAUCUUUUUUAGUUAUUAAGAAAUUUAGACUCUAUUCUUACUGCACUUAGCUAUUUUUAUGGCCAUUAGAGAUCAAAUCUCUUUAGAAACUAUUUUCUUUUUUAAUGAAAUUUAGUAAAAGAAUUUAUGCGAAUGUGUGCCAAGUGCAAAGAACUCAUACCAAUGUGUACUAAAAUGAUAGUGGUGUGCCGCUAGCGUGGAGGGGCGUGUCAGCAUUCGCAUGUCUUGUGCUGCUGUGUCGUGUUGUGCUGUGCCAUUAGUAUGGUAAUCCUUGUAUCACAAAGGAAAAAUAAAUUUUUCGUUCUUUUACUUUUCCUUUAAAACAAUUACAGUCCAAAAACUUUUUUUUUUCCUAAAAAUACCAAACAUCUGAGACUCUGAAAUUUCUAUUUCUCUGAAACAAUUUUUCGCAGAACACAGUUUUUUGUGGAACCAAAUGGCCUCCAGGGUAAAGGAUUUUUUGCUUUCUUUCUAGUUUAAUUUUGUCUCCUUUCAUGUUAUUGGUCUACGAGAUGGAUUCUUGGUAGUCAAUUAUUUUAUUAUGUUUUUGAUUAAAGCAAUUUAAUAUAUUUCUAAGUUCUCAUGUUUGGUCAAUCUUUAAGCCUGUAAGUUCAUCUCUUGAUAAGAUGUCAUUUUGUGAGAGAUCUUUAUGACAUAAAGAGGUUCUUGAUCUUUAUGGUUUUUUUUGUGUUCACGGUCGCUUACGAGUGUUUGUAGUUUUCUGCUGCAAGAAUAAUAUGAUUUUAGAAAUGAUUUGUAUUUGCUUGAUUUUUGUGACGCCCUAACUUUCCAGGGGUCACCCAUCCUAGGACUACUCCCGUCCUAGCACACUUAACUCUCUUAACCUCUUGGACCUUACCACCACCCAAAAUAUUUAAGCCGGGUUAAGAGUUUUUAAUCCUAUUAUAUUUUAUAUAUAGGACUACAUGGGGUCUCACAAUCUCCCCUUUUAAGCCCUGACAUUCUCCUCAGGCUCAAACUCACAAGUACCAGGUGACAUUCUUGUUUAUUUAUACUAAGUUUGAGCUUUUGGGCUUUGGUAUUGCUUCAAUCACCUUUUGAAAUAAAUUUUAAAGUUCAUCUUUUCCUGGAGCUUUUUAAUGUAGUUUGAAAUUUUAAUUCAUUAUUAUUUGGACGUAUUUAUAUUUCGGUUUGGUAUGAGUUGCUGUGAAUAGUUGGAGCUUAAGAGUGAAAAAUAGGGACAAUAAAUAGUGAUUGCAACUUUAAAUCACUUUGUUGUCAGUUUUAGUUUCUGUUAGUUGUUUGGUCACCUUUUUUCUUUAUUGAUGGUUUUACCACUUUAUAUUAAAGAUUUGGUAUAACAGGAAAGCAUUUCGAGUAAUGAGAUUUGUGUGUGUGUGUGUGUUUGUCUCAAGCAUUGAAAUUAAUAUUGUUAUAUAUCAUUAUUAUUUUUGCUAUGCUUGUGCUUUGAAGAAAUUUAUCAACUGUAUGCUGUGUUUAUCCUUGUUGACCGCAAAUAGUCAGAGCAAAUAGUGAUGAGUUAGUUCGAUUGUAUAUUGAGACCAACUAUACAAAUAAGAAGACUUUUUCCCAUUUCUUUUAUUUCUUUUUGUGUAGCGAAUGAUAUUGUUCGUACUAUAAAUCCUUACUCUAUUAUGACUUUAGUUUUGUUCUAAUAUGUAGUUUCAUAAUAUCUAUAAAUUGAUCUUUUUUAGUUAUUAAGAUAUGUUGACUCUAUUCUUACUGCACUCAGCUAUUUUUAUGGCCAUUAGAGAUCAAAUCUCUUUAGAAACUAUUUUCUUUUUUAAUAAAAUUUUGUAAAAGAACUUAUGCAAAUGUGCGCCAAGUGCAGAGAACUCAUACCAAUGUGUACUAAAAUGACAGUGGUGUGUCGCUAGCGUGGAGGGACGUGUCAGCAUUCGCAUGUCUUGUGCUGUCGUGUCGUGUUGUGCUGUGCCAUUGGCAUGGUAAUCCUUGUAUCACAAAGGUUAAAUAAAUUUUUCGUUGUUUUACUUUUCCUUUAAAACAAUUACGGUCGAAAAAAUUUUUCUUUCCGACAUACCAAACAUCUGAGACUCUGAAAUUUCUAUUUCACUGAAACAAUUUUUCGCAGACCACAGUUUUUUUUGUAGCCAAACAGCCUCCAGGGUAAAAGGAUUUUUCGCUUUCCUUCUAGUUUAAUUUUGUCUCGUUUCUUGUUAUUGGACUUUCAGAUGGAUUCUUGGUAGUCAAUUAUUUUAUUAUGUUUUUGAUUAAAGCAAUUUAAUAUAUUUCUAAGUUUUCUUGUUUGGUCAAUCUUUAAGCCUGUAAGUUUUUCUCUUACUUGAUAAUAUGCCAUUCUGUGAGGCAUCUUUCUGAC